ACGCCUGAUUAAACAGGUUCAUCAUGAAACUUUCUAUGACUAAGAAAUUAAGAAUUAAUUUGACAAAUUAAGUUGAGUCAAAAGCAGAAUAAAAAAGCAAAAAAAUGGAAUAGAAGUCUGGUUGAAAAUAUAUAAACCAAUGAAAGAAAUCAAACAAGCAAAUCCCAUGAAAGAAAAACAUAACAAAAAGGCUAAAAAAAAAAAAAAUCCUUUACCAAUUGAAAAUGGAAUAAACUUGAUCU
This 242-nucleotide unclassified non-coding RNA is filed under the name Hevea brasiliensis (rubber tree). The record is from RNAcentral. Lineage: Eukaryota; Viridiplantae; Streptophyta; Magnoliopsida; Malpighiales; Euphorbiaceae.